Molecule: ribosomal RNA, 464 nt
Filed under: uncultured bacterium
Lineage: Bacteria
Description: bacterial SSU rRNA
Rfam family: Bacterial small subunit ribosomal RNA
Source: RNAcentral
UCCAGACUCCUACGGGAGGCAGCAGUGAGGAAUAUUGGUCAAUGGCCGGGAGGCUGAACCAGCCAAGCCGCGUGAAGGACGAAGGUGCCAAGCAUUGUAAACUUCUUUUGUCGAGGGACAAAAUCAGGCUCGAGAGCCUGACCGAGGGUACUUGAAGAAAAAGCAUCGGCUAACUCCGUGCCAGCAGCCGCGGUAAUACGGAGGAUGCGAGCGUUAUCCGGAUUUAUUGGGUUUAAAGGGUGCGUAGGCGGACUGUUAAGGCAGGGGUAAACGCCCGGGGCCCACCCCCGGCGAGCCGUUGAAACUGGCUGUCUUGAGAUGUCGAGAGGUAUGCGGAAUGCGCAGUGUAGCGGUGAAAUGCUUAGAUAUUGCGCAGAACUCCGAUUGCGAAGGCAGCAUACCGGCGCUCAACUGACGCUCAUGCACGAAAGUGUGGGUAUCGAACAGGAUUAGAUACCCCAGUA